RNAcentral lists this ribosomal RNA (358 nucleotides) under Salmonella enterica subsp. enterica serovar Cerro. RNAcentral's name for it is "partial 23S ribosomal RNA". It matches the Rfam family "Bacterial large subunit ribosomal RNA", at positions 456 to 816 of the family's 2925-position model. The record is from RNAcentral. Lineage: Bacteria; Pseudomonadati; Pseudomonadota; Gammaproteobacteria; Enterobacterales; Enterobacteriaceae.
UCCUCCAAGGCUAAAUACUCCUGACUGACCGAUAGUGAACCAGUACCGUGAGGGAAAGGCGAAAAGAACCCCGGCGAGGGGAGUGAAAAAGAACCUGAAACCGUGUACGUACAAGCAGUGGGAGCACCCUUUUGGGUGUGACUGCGUACCUUUUGUAUAAUGGGUCAGCGACUUAUAUUCUGUAGCAAGGUUAACCGAAUAGGGGAGCCGGAGGGAAACCGAGUCUUAAUUGGGCGUUAAGUUGCAGGGUAUAGACCCGAAACCCGGUGAUCUAGCCAUGGGCAGGUUGAAGGUUGGGUAACACUAACUGGAGGACCGAACCGACUAAUGUUGAAAAAUUAGCGGAUGACCUGUGGCU